AAUACUGAAAACACAUAAAAAUAAUAAAAUGCAUGAAAUAAUCCUAAAAUGACCUAAGAUGGCUAAAAUAUCCUAAAUAAUAUAUUAAAAUGUAUAAAAAUAAGUUAGAAAAAUAACUUAAACACCGGGUCAUCAAUUUUCUUCCUUCUCCUCUUUCAUUCGGCCUCUCACCAAUAUCCUUUCAUUAGAUUUUUAGAAGAUUUGUCUAAACUACACUGCGAGGUUUUGGAACUUCCUGUCUUUUGCAUAGAUGCUGCCUUCUAAUUUCAAAGAAAUAAUGCGCAGAGUUACUUUCCCCUCUGAUCAUACAAUAUUGUUUCUCAUUCUGUGCUUCAAAAUCUGAUUUUUUUAUUUUUUAUUUUUUUCUUGCAAAUCCUCUUAACAGACAAACAUGUUGCAUUUUGGGUAGGUAAGUGUUUGUGGAUAAAUAGAUUCCCAUAUCCCCUCAGCUUUUGUUUGUUAUUUAUCUCUGGUUUUAUAUUCAAACCAUGCCCACAUUCAUAAGUGAUGUUUCAAACUUGAUUAUUGAGAGAUAGAUUGUUUCCUAUUAACUAUUUUUCUGCUUGGUCUUGGAAAAUUGUCUUGGACUUGCUGAGUUGUUGACUAUCUUAUGAACGUGCAACCAAUUUAAAAUACACCCUUUCCUUGGAGCAAGAAUGGAUACAAAUUAUGAUUUCUGUAGAUUUCGCAAUUUGAUUUUUUAGUUUUAAUUUUUUUCAGGUGAUGUGGAGAAAGGCUAAUCAAUAAGAAAUGAGACAUGCUUUGGUGGGGAUGCUGACAGUCUAGAUCACAUGUGGCAGAAUAAGAAGGCUGAGAUCAAGCAGCAAGAGAUUAUGUUUUCAAGGUCUAUUUUUGUUAGAGAUAUUUGAGUAUUAUGAUCAACUUAAAGGUGAAACAAUUGUUGGGAGAGAGGAGCAGCAAAGGAAAAACAUUGCAACAAAGUGAAGGAACCACAUUUAAUGAAAAUGUAUCUUCUACAUGAUUCAACAUUGUUGUCAUUGGAGGUUCCCUUUUAUUUUAUUGUUCUCAUCCCUUCACAUAUUGUGAGAAGAAGAUUGUGAUGAAAUAUUGAUGAUAAUUUUUGCCUGAGAAUAAUCAAAUAAGCUUUUUUUAAACCUUUGAAAGAGAUUGCUUUACCAUGAAUUUUUCUAUUUGAGUGAAAAGAGACUAACCUUUGUAUCAGUUGUAUCUUCUAUUAAUGAGAACCUUUUCGAAAUAUCUGUAUAGUUUAGUUGAGCUAUAAGUGGUUUAUUCUAUUAAUGAGAUCCUGAUCUGAUAAUUAGUAUAUUUUAGUUGAAGCUAAAAGCUAAUUGUAGCUUAUCCUGAUCCUGAUCACGGUGUUUUAUAGUGAUAUGGUUCUUAUUUUUUAUAUGACAGGGAUUGAUUACCGGGAAUAGGCAUUAUGUGUCUUUCACUCUAUGUCUGGGUUAUUUUUGCUCUUUGUUUUCAUUCUUCAAUUGAUACUAAUAUUUUUCUGUUAAAUUUGUUUUUUUCAAGUCUUAUAUAACAGACCAGGGUAGAUUGAGAGAUGAAAACUGGGGUCUAUUUUGUAUAGUCUUAGGUGUAUAACUGAAGCGGGACAUGUUAAAUCAAUUAUUUGAAUUUGAACUCAGUAUUUUUCUUCUCUCACAUUGUGGACUUGCUGUGAUUACAGAUUUGGACAGAUCAAUAUUUUAAACAUAUCUUGCUAUCAGUGAUGAGCUUUAAUCUCUAUCCAGGGAGUUGCAAUGUCGAAAUAAAUUUUGAUGUGUUAAGCGAAUAUAUGGUAGCAAAGGAAGAAGUAGAUUGUAGAAAACUAAAGUUGUGGAAACUGCAUAGAAAGUGCUCUUUUCUUUAAGGCAACAAUCUGAAGAGCUUUGAUGUGAGCCAGAACAACUUCAAGGGCAGAUUUCCCAACAGGCUUCUGAAGAGCUGCAUGAGUUUGAAUGUGAGGUCCCUGCAGGGUACAAUACAGAACUAGACAAUCAAAGGAUGUCAUCUUAGAUGAACAGACUUUAGAAAAGGAGGAAGAAUCCAAGGGAACAAACCAAGAAGGAAGAUACCAAGGGAACAAACCAUGAAGAGAAAGGGGCAAAGAAGAUGAAAGCUGAUAAAAAAACAUGGGGCUGAUAUUAGUCAAGUUCUAUCCUUGGGACGUUAAUCAAUAUAUUUUUUUAGUGCAGGUACAAUAAAGAACUAGACAAUCAAAGGAUCCCAAUUGAUUGAAGUUAGGCCUGCUGAAAUGAUUUUGUAAAGAUACAUGAGGGCUUUGUAGUGUGAUUAGGUGUUGAAAGAAAAUAUGAAAUUUAAAUUGUGCUGAAUAGGAGCUUGAAUUCUAGGUUUAGGUCAUUUUUUCUACUUUGUUAUCAGUUAAAUGUAGGGUUGUUUAGAAAAUAAAAGGUUGACCUUUAAUUCCUUGAAGAAAUUAACUGGCUUUUCU
Molecule: long non-coding RNA, 2419 nt
Organism: Lotus japonicus
Lineage: Eukaryota; Viridiplantae; Streptophyta; Magnoliopsida; Fabales; Fabaceae
Exons: 3
Source: RefSeq, a predicted model, not a curated record